Long non-coding RNA from Trichosurus vulpecula (common brushtail), 410 nucleotides. RefSeq lists it as uncharacterized. The record is from RefSeq and is a predicted model, not a curated record. Lineage: Eukaryota; Metazoa; Chordata; Mammalia; Diprotodontia; Phalangeridae. The transcript has 3 exons.
GAAGAAAUCAUCUGUCUCCUUCUCAAAGUCAACUUUUUUUAUGCUGGAAAGGCAUACAUCCUGGUCUUUUGGCAAUGUCCAAGGGGAUUGGCCAAAGCCCAACUAUGGCACACAAAUGUAACAGGAAUUGCACUACUGGAUAACUACCUGAUGGAGAUUGCACUUUUCUGAAGGGCUCAAGGUUGGUUGCUUAAAAGCAGUAAACAACAGAAAGCACACCUCUGAUGCUCUGGGAGUGACUCCAGUAUUGAAAUGGCAACUAUUUUGUUUGGAUAAAGACUGAAUAAUGGUUAAAGGUGUGGAGCUAGCCAAAAAGGGAUCUGCCUUUAAGAGACAGUUGCCUGCUUUUAAGAAGAGGAUUCAGAUGGAAUAAAAAACAGGAAGUCCUUGAAAGCUUCAAAGAAACCAUU